UUUACAACGCCGCUAUAUCCAAUCCAAUCAAUCUAUUCGAUUUUAUUACCCGAGAAACAGUUUUAACACAGGGGGAAAUCAUUGGAAAACGGGCGCAUCGAUCGAUUUGUCGAACUAGGUUAGUAGGCCACUUGUUAGUCUUCCGAGAAGAUAACUUUGAACGCUCCCAAAUUUGGAAGCAGUUGUCAAUUUCAAUACCUGUCCAAUUUGCAUUUUAAAUGCACCUUCGGUUAAUCGUAUCGGGCUAUGUUCUUUAAGGAUCGUUUUUAUGUUAUUUCAUUGGGACGUAAACAACAGCCGGAUACACAUGCACAAUUUUACACCAUUCGUCGUACAAACUUCAACAACACGUAUCUAUCAUUAAAACUCCAACUUUGGUCUCUUCUCCACCCAGGCUUUUAUAUUCGGAAUCGCCAGAACCUUUUCCUUCAGAGACUUCAAAUGCGGGUUAUCUUUGGUUAUAUCAGAUUCAUAAGCUGUAUUUAAGGAAUCUGAUAUACCGACGAAGAACAGAUCGGCAUAGCUCAACUAAAAGAUAUGAGAAAUAUAAAUCAAUUGAUUUCUUAUUCUGCGUAUACUGUUGAAUUAAACACGCUUACCUGAUUGCCAUGCAAAUAUCCGCCGUUAUUCUUUGCCAGAUCUUCCAGUUUAUUCAGCAUAUCGUUGGAAAGGAAAUCAAUUUAUUCAUGGGUACGAAAUCAAUAUUUACGCCAUCUGAAAUCGUAAAGAGCGCUAGCGAUCGCGUCGAUCUGCAACGUAUCCAAAUCAGUUUUGCCAAGCAGAUUAAACUGUUUGGCCAGGUAG
This is a long non-coding RNA of Bombus huntii, 804 nucleotides long. RefSeq lists it as uncharacterized. The record is from RefSeq and is a predicted model, not a curated record. NCBI's taxonomy places the organism in Eukaryota, Metazoa, Arthropoda, Insecta, Hymenoptera, Apidae. The transcript is spliced from 3 exons.